RNAcentral lists this transfer RNA (81 nucleotides) under Raphanus sativus (radish). It matches the Rfam family "tRNA". From Rfam's summary of the family: Transfer RNA (tRNA) molecules are approximately 80 nucleotides in length. Their secondary structure includes four short double-helical elements and three loops (D, anti-codon, and T loops). Further hydrogen bonds mediate the characteristic L-shaped molecular structure. tRNAs have two regions of fundamental functional importance: the anti-codon, which is responsible for specific mRNA codon recognition, and the 3' end, to which the tRNAs corresponding amino acid is attached (by aminoacyl-tRNA synthetases). tRNAs cope with the degeneracy of the genetic code in two manners: having more than one tRNA (with a specific anti-codon) for a particular amino acid; and 'wobble' base-pairing, i.e. permitting non-standard base-pairing at the 3rd anti-codon position. Lineage: Eukaryota; Viridiplantae; Streptophyta; Magnoliopsida; Brassicales; Brassicaceae. The record is from RNAcentral.
AGCGGGGUAGAGGAAUUGGUCAACUCAUCAGGCUCAUGACCUGAAGAUUACAGGUUCGAAUCCUGUCCCCGCACCGCAGUU